AUUCCAGCUCCAAUAGCGUAUAUUAAAGUUGUUGUGGUUAAAAAGCUCGUAGUUGGAUCUCGGCGGUCUGAGGGCGGUUCGCUUCAGAGCGCUACUGCCCUAUAGACCGUAGUUUUGCCAGAGGUCUCAGGGUGCUCUUAACCGAGUGUCUUGCGAUGCUGGCAGGUUUACUUUGAAAAAAUUAGAGUGCUCAAAGCAGGCUUUUACGCCUGAAUAUUCGUGCAUGGAAUAAUAGGAUAGGAAGUCGUUUCUAUUUUGUUGGUUUUCGGAAAUCGACUUAAUGAUUAACAGGGACAGUCAGGGGCACUCGUAUUCCGCCGAGAGGUGAAAUUCUCAGACCAGCGGAAGACGAACCACUGCGAAAGCAUUUGCCAGGGAUGUUUUCAUUG
Molecule: ribosomal RNA, 389 nt
Filed under: Pseudocalanus sp.
Lineage: Eukaryota; Metazoa; Arthropoda; Copepoda; Calanoida; Clausocalanidae
Description: partial small subunit ribosomal RNA
Rfam family: Eukaryotic small subunit ribosomal RNA
Source: RNAcentral